Molecule: ribosomal RNA, 528 nt
Filed under: uncultured Veillonella sp.
Lineage: Bacteria; Bacillati; Bacillota; Negativicutes; Veillonellales; Veillonellaceae
Description: bacterial SSU rRNA
Rfam family: Bacterial small subunit ribosomal RNA
Source: RNAcentral
GACGAACGCUGGCGGCGUGCUUAACACAUGCAAGUCGAACGAAGAGCGAUGGAAGCUUGCUUCUAUCAAUCUUAGUGGCGAACGGGUGAGUAACGCGUAAUCAACCUGCCCUUCAGAGGGGGACAACAGUUGGAAACGACUGCUAAUACCGCAUACGAUCUAACCUCGGCAUCGAGGAUAGAUGAAAGGUGGCCUCUAUUUAUAAGCUAUCACUGAAGGAGGGGAUUGCGUCUGAUUAGCUAGUUGGAGGGGUAACGGCCCACCAAGGCGAUGAUCAGUAGCCGGUCUGAGAGGAUGAACGGCCACAUUGGGACUGAGACACGGCCCAGACUCCUACGGGAGGCAGCAGUGGGGAAUCUUCCGCAAUGGACGAAAGUCUGACGGAGCAACGCCGCGUGAGUGAUGACGGCCUUCGGAUUGUAAAGCUCUGUUAAUCGGGACGAAAGGCCUUCUUGCGAAUAGUUAGAAGGAUUGACGGUACCGGAAUAGAAAGCCACGGCUAACUACGUGCCAGCAGCCGCGGUAAUA